Long non-coding RNA from Panicum virgatum (switchgrass), 543 nucleotides. RefSeq lists it as uncharacterized. Lineage: Eukaryota; Viridiplantae; Streptophyta; Magnoliopsida; Poales; Poaceae. The record is from RefSeq and is a predicted model, not a curated record. The transcript has 2 exons.
CUUCUAUAUAUAUCAAACUCAGGCUCUAACAUUCUGCACCACACCCCAACCGUCCUCCAAGGAUGCGUGUUCAAUUGAACGUUGCUAUGCCCACCAUGUCCGCAAGGUCUUUCCUUCGCGCGGCCAUGUUGCUGCUGGUCCAGCUGGCUGGCAUCUACCUCGCACACGCAACGCAUCCCCGGAGCUGUAGUACCUCAGACCCCAAUGCACCCUGCCGCCCUCCAGGCCCUCCAAAUUAGCAGUGUUCUCGGCCACCGUGUUAGAAUUCUUGGUUGUCAGGACUCAGGAUCUGAGUAGGGUUGCAAUCCACGUUUUCAAACCGGUGAGAAAGGCUGACUUCAGUGGGAAUGAGUUCACAGGUUUAUUUCCUUAUCUCUCUGCGCAUGCAUGAUUGUGAGAUAAAAAUAUAUCUUUCCUGGUCCACCUUCCAUGGGUCCAGGCUUGUGUCAUGUACAGUGGGUACAGUUUCGUAAAAAUUUGUGAGUGGUUAAAUCUUCAAUGUAAAGUGAAUAAAAUAUAUUAUUUUGAUACUUCAUGUGUGUA